GGGUGGAGAAUCUUGCAGCAAUAGGGCAAAAGCCUGACGCAGCAACGCCGCGUGAGGGAAGAAGGCCUUCGGGUUGUAAACCUCUUUCAGCAGGGAGGAAGGGUCGUCGGGUUAAUAGCCCUUCGGGUGACGGUACCUUCAGAAGAAGCCCCGGCCAACUACGUGCCAGCAGCCGCGGUAAUACGUAGGGGGCGAGCGUU
Molecule: ribosomal RNA, 200 nt
Filed under: bacterium
Lineage: Bacteria
Description: partial 16S ribosomal RNA
Rfam family: Bacterial small subunit ribosomal RNA
Source: RNAcentral